GGUGGCUCAGUGGUAGAGCAGUUGCCUUCCAUGUAUUAGGCCCUGGGUUCGAUUCCUCAGCACCA
This 65-nucleotide transfer RNA is filed under the name Dipodomys ordii (Ord's kangaroo rat). It matches the Rfam family "tRNA". Rfam says of the family: Transfer RNA (tRNA) molecules are approximately 80 nucleotides in length. Lineage: Eukaryota; Metazoa; Chordata; Mammalia; Rodentia; Heteromyidae. The record is from Rfam by way of RNAcentral.